CAGCGAGCUUAUCCAGUGACGUCAACGCACCUUCCUCGCCCCCCUUUAUCCCUUCCAUUUUCUCUCUUACCUAGCCUUUUCCUCCUACUUCUCAACGAAAUCGAGGAUCGUCGAUCAGCAUUGAGUCACGUCUCGUGGCUCAUCGAUAGCGAAACGGAAAUCCAGUCAAUUAGAUGCCAGAGAUUUUCUGCUCUUUUCGCCUCCCUCUGAGCCUGCUGACGCAAAUGGUAUAUAUGCGAAUGGAAUAGUAAAUGAACGAGGGGAUCGUCGAUUGAUUUUAAUGCAAUUCCACCGUUUAAAGGAGCAUUCUAUUCUAAAAUUUUCAAACGAUUGCUUCUUGUAUUUGAUAAAAGUGUAUAGCGUCCAGAAAUUACAUCUGUAAAAAGACUUUGUAAAAUUAAUCCUCCGAGUGCUUAAAAUUACC
This is a long non-coding RNA of Frieseomelitta varia, 424 nucleotides long. RefSeq lists it as uncharacterized. The record is from RefSeq and is a predicted model, not a curated record. NCBI's taxonomy places the organism in Eukaryota, Metazoa, Arthropoda, Insecta, Hymenoptera, Apidae. The transcript is spliced from 2 exons.